UCCAUUUUUGAUGCACUCCGCCCCGCUUCGAAUAUAUUGACUACUGACUUGUAAAGCCCUAAACUCACUUUCCUUGAACCCCACGAUUUUUUCUCUUCAAUUUUGACAAAUAUAUUCAAGAUUUGCUAUGAGAUCUACCCAACGAUUGCUAGAUAUUCUCCCUCUGAUGUCGUGAACCAGAAUGUCUGAUGAGCCAGACUUUCUAACUAAAAGCAUUCAGCACCUAACUAGAGGAAUGCAUGAGGCAGUAUCACGUGCACAGCAGGCAAGAGAGUUUAAGCCUUAGUGGGAGCGUUAUCAAAGAGAUCAACAAUUUCUGCAAAUUAAAAUUUUGAACAGUCUAAUCUAAAGCACGUAGCUCGAGAACGGGAAUGCCUGUGGAACCAGACUUGCCAACUAAAUGCAUUCAGGGCAUGGAAAGGAAGUGGCAGACGACGCUCCUCCACAGGGUUCGAUGGUUGUAUGAUCUGUUUGUUCAUUGAGAGAUCAAUUACCAGCUGCCAAUUCAAACAAAAAGAAUAUUGAAUCGAGUUAGAGAUGGCAGACACUGCUCUCGAUUUUCUGUUGGAGAACAUGGUACAGCUGAUAAACUGCAACAACGAACUGAUUCUCAAGGUUUAUGAGGACAAGCUGAUCAGAAAAGACCAAAUUGAAUGGCUUUAUUCGGAGCUUCAAUGCGUGCGAGCGUUUCUCUAUGAUACGGAGGAAAUACGCAGUGAAAUUCAGAAAGUGAAUGAUCUCGUGACAAGAAUUAGAGAUGUGACUUGUGAGGUUGAAGAUAUCAUUGACUCGAUCAUAGCCAAUGCAGUCAUGCAAAACGAAAGGAGCUGCAUGUCAGAGAAACAUGAAGAUGUGACAUGUUUAUCAAUAGAUCAGUGGUCCAACGAUACAAAACCUCUAGCUUCAGUGGAGGUACGGGUGCGUGAGUACCAACUCAGCAAAAAUAAAGAUGUGACAUGGUUGAGAAAAUUUGUCCAUGCUUUUUCCAGAAAGAAGAGGAACUUCAUGGAAGGUAUUAACUCCUUUAUGGGUCAAAUAAGUUGUCUUGCCUGUGUUUCUGCCAAACAGAUGAAGAAUACCACAGGAGAGCUUGAUUCUACAAAGAUGAAGACUGUCGAUGCAGAAGAGACAGAUGGAAGUGAUAUUGUCUCUCCGAAAAAGAUGAUGAAUGUCACAGGAGAGCAUGAUUCUGAAAAGAUGAAGACUGUCGACGCAGAAGAGACAGAUGGAAGUGAUAUUGUCUCUCCGAAAAAGAUGAUGAAUGUCACAGCAGAGCAUGAUUCUGAAACGAUGAAGACUGCCGAUGCAGAAGAGACAAAUGGAAGUGAUAUUGUCUCUCCGAAAAAGAUGAUGAAUGUCACAGGAGAGCACGAUUCUGAAAAGAUGAAGAGUGUCUUAGAAGAGGCUGAUGAUAGUGAAAAGAUAACGGAUCUCAUGGAAGAGAUUAAAUUGAAGGCAGCUGAGAAAACUCAACACGACUUAGAGAGCGUUGUAGAAGAGAUCAAGUCUAUCAAGAUAGAAGUGUUGCAGAUUUAUGAUAAGAAGAUGUAUGGCAUCGAUGUCCCACAAAUCAGAAAGUCUUCUCAUGGAGCUUCAUCAUCGAGAGCCAGCAACCCUAUUGUAAAGGGUGAAAUCAUUGUGGGUUUUGGUGAUGAUGUGACAAUGAUAAUAGAAUUGCUUACUGAAGAACAUGAAAAACAGCUAAAAAUUAUCCCUAUCGUUGGGAUGCCUGGGCUCGGGAAGACAACUUUGGCCAAAAAAGUGUACAAUGAUCCUUUCAUCGAAUAUCACUUCUAUAUUCGUGCUUGGACCUAUGUGUCUCAAGUGUACCAGAAGAGAGACUUGUUGCUUAGCAUUUUAAGUUCUGCACGUAUUGAGCUUACAGGCAAUAUUAACCUAAUGAACGAUGAAAAGUUGGGUGAAGAGCUGUACAAACGCCUAAAAGGUAAUAAAUAUCUCAUUGUUAUUGAUGAUAUAUGGAACAUUGGAGCUUGGGAUAAUUUGAAGAUAUAUUUCCCAAAUGAUAACAACGGAAGUAGAAUUAUGUUCACCAGUCGGAUUGUAGAUGUUGCUGUGUCUUUGAAUGCCAAACCUCACUAUUUAAGGUUUUUGACCGAAGAUGAAAGUUGGGAACUACUGGAACAGAAGGUAUUUCAGAAAGAAAGCUGCCCUGCAGAGUUAUUGGAAAUGGGGAAGAUAAUUGCCACAAAAUGCCAAGGACUACCACUUGCAAUUGUUGUAGUAUCUGGACUUCUUGCAAAGAAAGAGAAGACACAAUACUGGUGGAGGCAAGUUGCUGAAGGUUUAAGUUCAUAUAUUGCAACUGACCCAAAGGAGUACAUGAACACGCUGGAAUUGAGUUACAACCACUUGCCUCAUCACCUGAAACCAUGCUUCCUUUAUUUUGGCGCAUUUCCAGAAGACUAUGAAAUACCUGUGUGGCAAUUGAUGUGGUUAUGGGUCGCCGAGGGAUUCAUACAGCAACAUGAUGAGAAAAGUUUGGAGGAAGUGGCAGAGGAUUACUUGAUGGAUCUAAUUGACAGAAGUCUAGUAAUUGCUUCCAAGAGAAAGUCCAAUGGUAAAAUCAAAGUGUGUCGUGUUCAUGAUCUCUUGCGUGAUUUAUGCCUGAGAAAAGCUCAAGAACUGAUUUUCCUUCAACAGGUUCUCCAGUAUGAACAGACAUCUUCAUCUUCUUCAAAUCCCUUUGCAUAUAAGCAACGUCGCAUGUGCAUCCAGGAUAACAUUGUUGAUUAUACUUCUUUAAAGGGUUUCGAGCAUCACAUCCGAUCUUUCUUAUCCUUUAGCCAUUCGGUUUAUAACUUGCCUGUGAAGCACGUCUCAUUUGUUUGUCAAGCCUUCAAACUUCUUAGGGUGAUAAAUUUAUUGUCCAUCAUAUACAUCAGUUUUCCGAAAGAAAUAGAGAAGCUGGUUCACUUGAGGUAUUUAGCACUUCAUGUUGACCAUGAGCAUUUUCAACUAUCAAUGUCGAACCUCUGGAACCUGGAAACCAUUAUGAUUGCUGGACCAAGAGGUUCCUUGGUUUUAUGUGAUGUUACUAGAAUGGUGAAGUUGAGACAUGUGUAUACCAGGCGAUUUAUCGAAAUUCCUGAUGUACCUGGUGAUGGAUCUUCCUUUGUAUUGGAUAACCUACAGACCAUAGGCAAAUUAGAUCUUUCGGGAGGCAUGUGUGGCUUGGAAUUGUUUCCCAAUCUUAAAAAACUAAAAUGCCAAGAUUAUGGUUUUCCAACAUUGAACUUUCUAAUUCACCUUGAAACCCUGAAUUUAUGCCAUUUGGACUUACAUUUUCCAACCACAAGUCAAUUACAUAGGCGCAAUCCACAUAUGUAUGCGUUCCCCCCAAAUCUCAAAAGCCUUACUUUAUCAUACUUUCGUCUACCAUGGGAGAAAAUGUCAUUCCUUGGAAGGUUACCUAACCUUGAGGUUCUCAAAUUAUCAUACAAGGCAUUCGAAGGACCAACAUGGGACACAAAUGAUGGGGAGUUUCGCAAACUAAGAUUCCUGAAAUUUCAAGGCGUGUUUAUUAAGCGAUGGAACACUUGUAAUGAUCACUUUGUCAACCUUCAAACGUUGGUGUUGAAUGACUGUCAGUGGCUUGAGGAGAUCCCAUCUAGUUUAGGGGAUAUACCUACUCUAGAGAUGAUUCAAGUGAGAUGGUGUAAACGCUCGGCUGAAGAUUCUGCCCGGCAAAUUCAAGAAGAACAAAAGAUGAUGGGAAAUGAUGGGCUUAAGAUCCUUAUCUACUCUUUAAAUCGGGAUUAGGUGGCCUUCGUGGAUGAGGAUGACUAGGUUGACGCACGUUAGAGUUCAUCAAAGCAUACAGCAUAAUUAGUCGCUUGAAUAAGACUCAAAUGGAGGGGAGUUUACAACGUAAAGAGUAUGAUGUUAAGGUGCGUCUUGUCGUCUUUCUCAGAUCUGAAUGAUGAUGAAUGUUCUUUUGAUAAGCAAACAUAACUGAUUUUUUUUUUUUCCUUCUUGUGUGUGUAUGUGUGUGUGUAAUAGCUUCUUUUGAGAAAUUUGAUGUGCUAAAUUGCCUCUUUUGAUUGAAGUUAAAUAUUUGUGUGUGUGUGUGUGUAUGUAAUGCUCUUAACUGAUGUGAUAGAGGUUUAAAAAUUGAAUUAGCAGAAUCCAUCUAACAUAUCAUUGGUAGGGGUAAAAUUUGACUGAAAAGACUCCAUUGAAAACAAAAACAGAGGAC
Molecule: RNA transcript, 4216 nt
Organism: Cornus florida
Lineage: Eukaryota; Viridiplantae; Streptophyta; Magnoliopsida; Cornales; Cornaceae
Gene name: putative late blight resistance protein homolog R1A-3
Exons: 5
Source: RefSeq, a predicted model, not a curated record